This 107-nucleotide small nuclear RNA is filed under the name Catagonus wagneri (Chacoan peccary). Lineage: Eukaryota; Metazoa; Chordata; Mammalia; Artiodactyla; Tayassuidae. The record is from RNAcentral.
GUACUCACUUCGGCAGCACAUAUUCUAAAACUGGAACAAUACAGAGAAGAUUAGCAAAGCCUCUGAGCAAGGAUAACAUACAAAUUCAUGAAGUGUUCCCUCAUUUA